This 205-nucleotide unclassified non-coding RNA is filed under the name Hevea brasiliensis (rubber tree). Lineage: Eukaryota; Viridiplantae; Streptophyta; Magnoliopsida; Malpighiales; Euphorbiaceae. The record is from RNAcentral.
AAGCAAGGUGAGACCAUCUCAAAGGGGCAUAAGAACUAUGACCUUAUGCUCAAUCUCCAGCUAGGGAUCAGGCAUGCUGUAGGAAAACUAGCUCAAACCCCUGUUACAUCACUUGAUCUGAGAGCAUCAGCCUUUGACCCCAAAGAAAAAGUGUGGACAAAAUUCCCCCCAGAAGGAACAAAACAAACACCCCCCCACCAAUCAU